UGAAUAACCAGGCAGCACCGCCUCUGCUUUCUCCCUUUUCCGCUUUCUACUGAAGGUCUGAGACAUGCCAAAUUCUCAUGUUCACAGCUCCCUGCCAGAUAAUUCUGAGUUCCUUUGCCUAAUUACUGGAAUGAAAAGAACAUUGAAAUCACUUGCUCUAAUCUCUUCUUAAGGCAGAAAUCAGAAAGAAUACGAGGUAAACUAGGAAAGUUGAAAAAUAAAAAAGCUAAGAGGUAAAACUGAAGACAAAAAGCAGCAAAAUUUUUUUUGAGUUGAAGUGUCAUGCGGCCUUGCUGUAGACCUGCGUGCCAACGGUGACAGAGAAGGAAAUAGUGACUGGGUUGCCCAAGAGGUGAUUUACUUUGAAGAGCAUCUGGUUAGGAGGAACUCAUCUCAGUGAGGGAUAAAAGUUGUUUCUAACUGACUGAAAGCAAAUCAUUCAGGAUUUUCUGGUACAAAACAAUAUGAAUUUAUUAGCAGAUCGAUGGUAAGUUUGAAAACACAUGAGGACCCUGAUACAAAGUCCUGAUAAGACCAAAGAAGCUAAAGCCAAAGAAAUCAUUGCCAUCCCUGCAUAUUUGAGCCAUGCUCAUUCCAUGUCAUGAAAACACAUUGUGAGAGAAAUUACAUAUCCACAGUGAAGUCUCUUCUUUAUAAAAAGCAUAUUUUUCUUAUUUUAACAUGAGAGAUGUUUGAGAGAUGCCAGAAGAAUGUUGCAAACACUGUGAGCAACUAAGAAAACUAUGAAAAAAAUUGUUAAGAAAAUAUUAAAGGGCAAUAUCAGAAUAUCAUGGGGUGUUGCUACAUAGACCAGUGGUUUUAAAUCAGGCUGCAUAUUAGAAUUACUUAAGGGCUUUAAAAAUCAAAACAACCAGACACAAACCCCAAAUUUGAAUCAGAGUACUUGAGAUAAGACCUUUGCCUUUUUUAUCAUUUAUUAAUAUUGUUAUUAUUAUUAUUAUUAUUAAAACACCCCAGGGAUUUCUAAUGUGCAGUAAGGUUUGGGAAACACUGACUUGGACCAACAGGCAGAUUAAAAAUUUUAAAAUGCUGCAUUUGGUCCAGAAAAAUAUUUUCCUCCAUUUAUCAUUCUCUCAUCUUUCCUAAAUAAUAGGUUCCCUGUAGAUCAAAUGUCAUGAAUUGCUACCUUUUCUCUUUGCCAAGAAUUCCAGAAGUUCAG
This 1180-nucleotide long non-coding RNA is filed under the name Homo sapiens (human). RNAcentral's name for it is "HSALNT0085065". Lineage: Eukaryota; Metazoa; Chordata; Mammalia; Primates; Hominidae. The record is from RNAcentral.